UUGACCGAUGGUGAGGUUCUUGAGUUUGUAUUCAAGAUGGGUUCCUAAUGCUGUGAGCAUGGCCUUUUUAGUUUAUUCAAGGUUUGGGAUCUUUCAUAUUCUAGCACAGUUGUGCCUUCCAUAUUUUUAAUGUACUACAUGCAUUGGAAUGUAUGAACAUUCUAGCAUAAUUUACUUGUUUUUUAAUGACUUCUAUCAUAUAUUCUUGAUAAUUGAAUGCCCAUCUUGUUGAGUACAAAGGAUACUGAGAUUGCUUAGUCUGAAUGAUGUGCAGCUAAACUAACACUUGAAUCACCUUGCAUUCCUAUGGCUGAAAGCACCAAGUUUAGUAUGCUUACGACAAAGUAUGCUCUGUUUCCAUCGUCCCCUUAUCCUCUAUACGACUAUACCAGCAUGAUCACCUCGAAUGAUGGGGAUUGCAUACUAGACAUCAUGAGCUCAGGGGUCAACUCCUUUGAUCAUCUGUGUGAGAGGUGAGUAUAUGCUAUCCUAUUUUAUUGUACAAAGGUAUAUAAUUAAUUCAUGUGAACGAAACUAAGGAUCCAGAGAUGACUGCAUUUUUUUAAAAGCAAAUGCAAUGCAACUAUUGUACAUAGAUGCAAAAAGUUCAUACCAUGUAUUAUCGAUAUUUCUUUUUCUGUGUUCUUUAAAUCUCUCCCCUUAGUAUGGAACCAUGGAUUUAGAACCUAGAAAAAGAGAUACCCAAUUUGUGAUUAUUCUUAAAACAAUCAAAACAGUUAGAUAUACAUGUAUUGAUAUGAAAAUUUUCAAGCAUGUGAGCUGGUUAUCUGUUUUGUAUUCUGAUUUUUUUUUCAGAAAUAAGGUGUUGGUAUAAACCGUUGCUAUAAUGUUUGCUAAGGUCUUGCAAUAGACUAAUAUAGCUAUCAAUUGCUUUUUUUUUGAGACUGUGUCUGACCACGUUUUUCAAUAAAAGAAGGAAUUUUUGGUAUAUUUGCGCUUUGUAUUAGAGUUAAUAGGACAUCUGCGAUCAAUUUCAUACUGCAAUUAGGUACAGCUUGCAAUAUCUUGGCUUAAUGCCUUAUGUUUUGUAGGUAUAGAUCUCAAUAACUUUCUGACUUGUGCUUUGUGCUAGCGUUGGUACUUGUGAGCUGUUUUCGGUGUGAUGGUGUUCAGAUAUAUUCAGCAAUAAGUUGUUGAAGAAGAAAGAAAAAGGACCAGUUGCAAAUCAUUUACGAAAGAAUAUUGAUAGCAUUAUGUGAAUAAAUGUAUUAUGCAUACAUCGUAUAUGAAGAAAUCUGAAACCUCAUACUAGGAUAGAUGUGGGGACGAUGGCAGGGAUGUGAAGGAGGGAAGAUGGUUGUGCAGCCAGUUGCGACCAAAGUAGCAUGGGAGCUUUAGCAGAAUUGGAGUGCUAAUGUAGUAGGACGGUUUUUUUUUCUUAUUUGCUGAUUUGUGAGUGUAUAUAAAAAUUUCUAGAUAGCAAUUUAGCUUAGUUUCAGUAUUUUUACACUAAUUUGAACAAUGGUUUUUUAGAGU
This is a long non-coding RNA of Panicum virgatum (switchgrass), 1497 nucleotides long. RefSeq lists it as uncharacterized. Lineage: Eukaryota; Viridiplantae; Streptophyta; Magnoliopsida; Poales; Poaceae. The transcript has 2 exons. The record is from RefSeq and is a predicted model, not a curated record.